This 233-nucleotide long non-coding RNA is filed under the name Lathyrus oleraceus (garden pea). Its description in RNAcentral is "Pisum sativum (pea) long non-coding RNA (PSAT_LNC020566)". Lineage: Eukaryota; Viridiplantae; Streptophyta; Magnoliopsida; Fabales; Fabaceae. The record is from RNAcentral.
GAGAACAAAGAAUGACCAGACAUUUACCGAUGACUGGGGUGAGACUCGAUGUUUACCGACAUCGAAAGAUGAUGUUUACCGACAUCAAAAGAAAUGACCAGACAUUUACCGAUGACUGGGGAUGAGACUCGAUGUUUACCGACAUCGAAAAAUGAUGUUUACAGACAUUUACCGAUGACUGGGGUGAGAAAUUUAUUGGGGAGGACAAACAAAUAUUUGCAAUUGGAAACCAG